CGGGAUGUGGCGCAGUUUGGCUAGCGCGCUUGCUUUGGGAGCAAGAAGCCGGGGGUUCAAAUCCCUCCAUCCCGACCA
RNAcentral lists this transfer RNA (78 nucleotides) under Peptococcaceae bacterium. RNAcentral describes it as "tRNA-Pro". It matches the Rfam family "tRNA". From Rfam's summary of the family: Transfer RNA (tRNA) molecules are approximately 80 nucleotides in length. Their secondary structure includes four short double-helical elements and three loops (D, anti-codon, and T loops). Lineage: Bacteria; Bacillati; Bacillota; Clostridia; Eubacteriales; Peptococcaceae. The record is from RNAcentral.